This 351-nucleotide long non-coding RNA is filed under the name Lathyrus oleraceus (garden pea). RNAcentral describes it as "Pisum sativum (pea) long non-coding RNA (PSAT_LNC011757)". The record is from RNAcentral. Lineage: Eukaryota; Viridiplantae; Streptophyta; Magnoliopsida; Fabales; Fabaceae.
ACAUCUCAACUUCGUUCCAUUUGUUUCUCAUUUGAAACCUUCACAACUCUUAUAUCACAACUCAAUUUUGUUUUUCACUAUUUUUCUUCCAAGCAAGCAUUCAUUUUUAUUUUCUCUAUUUUUUUUUCUUUUUCUACAUUGUAUUCACAAAAUAGAUGUUUCUCUUUUCUAAUUUUUUUCAAUGCUUGCUCGGUUGUUCAAGAGUUGUGGCACCUACCGAUUCUCAUUUUCGUUCUCCCCAACUUAUCUUUUACUCACCCUAAGUGAAUGCUCUUGACUUUUUACGGCAAAAGAGCAAUUAUCAAGAAUUUCAGGGUUUCAAGAAAAAAGAUUUUUGACAUCUCGCCUUAU